GAACCUAGAAAAGACUGCACAGCCUGAAGACAGGUCAACAUACGGGUUUCUAAACAUUCACCCAAGAACUGAAUUUGAUAAGUAAACAGAAGGCAGAGAACUAAUUUGCUUAACAGAGAAAAUCAACUUAUUGGGUGGUUGAAUAUCUGCUUUAAAAUGGAAUCUAUCACUGGAAAUGACCUAUGGAAGAAUGCUGAGUAAAGGGGUCACUUAACAAAAGAAUCUCUUGGACAACUUGUGGUUACCAGGAUGAAAACAAACUCCAAGACGCCCUCAAGAGAACAGUGGUGACAAUCUCAAUUCCCAGGGUUCAGAUAUGUACACAGGUGGUGUCGGAUCAAUGCUUGCCAACCUGGGCUAAUGGUCUCUGGAUUCUUCUCUUAUGAACUCAAAAAUGGCAUUCAUGCUCAUCAGGAAAGUUUGAGAAAGGAGUUUUAUUAUAGAUUCAUGGGUGGACACAGAAGAGAAAGAAGACAGAGCUUCAGUACAGCAGGAAAUUAGAAUGGUAUAGUAGGAGUUAACAAAGCUUUAA
This is a long non-coding RNA of Mesocricetus auratus (golden hamster), 532 nucleotides long. RefSeq lists it as uncharacterized. Lineage: Eukaryota; Metazoa; Chordata; Mammalia; Rodentia; Cricetidae. The transcript is spliced from 3 exons. The record is from RefSeq and is a predicted model, not a curated record.